This 497-nucleotide ribosomal RNA is filed under the name uncultured bacterium. Its description in RNAcentral is "partial 16S ribosomal RNA". It matches the Rfam family "Bacterial small subunit ribosomal RNA", at positions 28 to 507 of the family's 1533-position model. The record is from RNAcentral.
GAUGAACGCUGGCGGCGUGCCUAAUACACGCAAGUCGAGCGAACGGACGAGAAGCUUGCUUCUCUGAUGUUAGCGGCGGACGGGUGAGUAACACGUGGAUAACCUACCUAUAAGACUGGGAUAACUUCGGGAAACCGGAGCUAAUACCGGAUAAUAUUUUGAACCGCAUGGUUCAAAAGUGAAAGACGGUCUUGCUGUCACUUAUAGAUGGAUCCGCGCUGCAUUAGCUAGUUGGUAAGGUAACGGCUUACCAAGGCAACGAUGCAUAGCCGACCUGAGAGGGUGAUCGGCCACACUGGAACUGAGACACGGUCCAGACUCCUACGGGAGGCCGCAGUAGGGAAUCUUCCGCAAUGGGCGAAAGCCUGACGGAGCAACGCCGCGUGAGUGAUGAAGGUCUUCGGAUCGUAAAACUCUGUUAUUAGGGAAGAACAUAUGUGUAAGUAACUGUGCACAUCUUGACGGUACCUAAUCAGAAAGCAACGGCUAACUACGUG